GAUGAACGCUGGCUCCAGGCUUAACACAUGCGAGUCGAGGGGAAACGACGGGGAAGCUUGCUUCCCCGGGCGUCGACCGGCGCACGGGUGAGUAACGCGUAUCCAACCUGCCUCUGACUGAGGGAUAACCCGUCGAAAGUCGGCCUAAUACCUCAUGGCAUCGUCUGCGGGCAUCCAACGACGAUUAAAGAUUUCAUCGGUCAGGGAUGGGGAUGCGUCUGAUUAGCUUGUUGGCGGGGUAACGGCCCACCAAGGCUACGAUCAGUAGGGGUUCUGAGAGGAAGGCCCCCCACAUUGGAACUGAGACACGGUCCAAACUCCUACGGGAGGCAGCAGUGAGGAAUAUUGGUCAAUGGGCGGGAGCCUGAACCAGCCAAGUAGCGUGCAGGAUGACGGCCCUAUGGGUUGUAAACUGCUUUUAUGCGGGGAUAAAGUGAGGGACGUGUCCUUCAUUGCAGGUACCGCAUGAAUAAGGACCGGCUAAUUCCGUG
This 491-nucleotide ribosomal RNA is filed under the name uncultured bacterium. RNAcentral describes it as "partial 16S ribosomal RNA". It matches the Rfam family "Bacterial small subunit ribosomal RNA", at positions 28 to 507 of the family's 1533-position model. The record is from RNAcentral.